Molecule: ribosomal RNA, 1121 nt
Filed under: uncultured methanogenic archaeon
Lineage: Archaea; Methanobacteriati; Methanobacteriota
Description: bacterial SSU rRNA
Rfam family: Archaeal small subunit ribosomal RNA
Source: RNAcentral
AUGCGUCAAAAGGAUUCGUCUGCCCAAGGAUGGGUCUGCGGCCUAUCAGGUAGUAGUGGGUGUAAUGUACCUACUAGCCAGCGACGGGUACGGGUUGUGAGAGCAAGAGCCCGGAGAUGGAUUCUGAGACAUGAAUCCAGGCCCUACGGGGCGCAGCAGGCGCGAAAACUUUACAAUGCGGGAAACCGUGACAAGGGGACACCGAGUGCCAGCAUCAUAUGCUGGCUGUCCGGAUGUGUAAAAUACAUCCGUUAGCAAGGGCCGGGCAAGACCGGUGCCAGCCGCCGCGGUAACACCGGCGGCCCGAGUGGUGAUCGUGAUUAUUGGGUCUAAAGGGUCCGUAGCCGGUUUGGUCAGUCCUCCGGGAAAUCUGAUAGCUUAACUAUUAGGCUUUCGGGGAUACUGCCAGACUUGGAACCGGGAGAGGUAAGAGGUACUACAGGGGUAGGAGUGAAAUCUUGUAAUCCCUGUGGGACCACCUGUGGCGAAGGCGUCUUACCAGAACGGGUUCGACGGUGAGGGACGAAAGCUGGGGGCACGAACCGGAUUAGAUACCCGGGUAGUCCCAGCCGUAAACGAUGCUCGCUAGGUGUCAGCAUGGCGCGACCGUGUCUGGUGCCGCAGGGAAGCCGUGAAGCGAGCCACCUGGGAAGUACGGCCGCAAGGCUGAAACUUAAAGGAAUUGGCGGGGGAGCACAACAACGGGUGGAGCCUGCGGUUUAAUUGGACUCAACGCCGGACAACUCACCGGGGGCGACAGCAAUAUGUAGGCCAAGCUGAAGACUUUGCCUGAAUCGCUGAGAGGAGGUGCAUGGCCGUCGCCAGUUCGUACUGUGAAGCAUCCUGUUAAGUCAGGCAACGAGCGAGACCCGUGCCCACUGUUACCAGCAUGUCCUCCGGGACGAUGGGUACUCUGUGGGGACCGCCGAUGUUAAAUCGGAGGAAGGUGCGGGCCACGGUAGGUCAGUAUGCCCCGAAUCUCCCGGGCUACACGCGGGCUACAAUGGAUGGGACAAUGGGUCCCUCCCCUGAAAAGGGCUGGUAAUCUCACAAACCCAUUCGUAGUUCGGAUCGAGGGCUGUAACUCGCCCUCGUGAAGCUGGAAUCCGUAGUAAUCGCGU